Molecule: ribosomal RNA, 482 nt
Filed under: uncultured bacterium
Lineage: Bacteria
Description: partial 16S ribosomal RNA
Rfam family: Bacterial small subunit ribosomal RNA
Source: RNAcentral
GACGAACGCCGGCGGCGUGCUUAACACAUGCAAGUCGAACGAUGAAACCUAGCUUGCUAGGUCGAUUAGUGGCGAACGGGUGAGUAACACGUGACUAACCUGCCCCUUUCUCUGGGAUAACGCUCCGAAAGGAGUGCUAAUACCGGAUACUCACAUCGAGGCACAUGCCUUGAUGUGGAAAGUUUUUCGGAAAGGGAUGGAGUCGCGGCCUAUCAGCUUGUUGGUGAGGUAACGGCGCACCAAGGCGACGACGGGUAGCCGGCCUGAGAGGGCGACCGGCCACACUUGGACUGAGACACGGCCCAGACUCCUACGGGAGGCAGCAGUGGGGAAUAUUGCACAAUGGGCGCAAGCCUGAUGCAGCGACGCCGCGUGAGGGAUGAAGGUCUUCGGAUUGUAAACCUCCUUCAGUAGGGACGAAGCGAAAGUGACGGUACCUAAAGAAGAAGCACCGGCUAACUACGUGCCAGCCGCCGCCGUAA